CGUGUCUGGGACUUUGAAUGUUAUGCCUGUGAAUAUGGAAACCGCUUUGAAUAUUAAACAUUUAACCUGCUUAACAUAGAUCACUGAAUCGGCCCAAAAUGUGACAUGUAAAAAUUAUGACGGAACAAAAACAAGAAACCAGAAAAAGGACAUUUAAGAUUUUUGACCUGAACCGCUGGAGUAUAACCGUUGAGAUUAACAGUAUUUUCAUUCCUGUAACAAGGCUAAAUGAACAUCAUAAAUAGUAUCAAUAAAUUGUCUUAAUCAAAGCUUUUGAAAGCAAAUGAAAAUUAAUGGCUAAAAUCAACCGGUUAUUGCUCUGAAAUACUUUCUCAACGUUGAAUAACACACUUGAAACUGGUAUCUGCGAAUAGACAUGCAAAAAGUACCCAAAAAAUGGGUUCUAUUUUCAAGAUUCGGUUGCUUUGCUUUCCAUGUUUUUUGUAAACAAAACUUACAAAGAUACAUCUAUUUACAUCAAUUAAUGUUUGUGUGUUUCUUUAUGUAAACAAUUUAACCUCUUAACCUUGUUAAUUAAAUUACUUAAAUUGUAAACUGGUUAUGUGAGGUGAAAGGAAAGGCUAAGAUUGACAAUUAACAAUGACAACCAUAAACUGAUUGAAGACAUGAAAUUUUGUGAAAUGAAAGAUGAUAAUCCGCUUUUCCUUUUGAUUAAUGGUCAUUGCUACUUGACCGUGUGAGAGAGUAAGAUUAUCGUCUAAUUAACAGUUGAAUAUUAGAGACAAAGAUGAAGAAGAAGAAGAAGAAAGAUUGAAGACAAUCUUCAUCAUCAUCUGAAUUUUGUUCAACUCUUUAAUGACACAUUUACCUCUCAUCUUUCUCAUCAUCGCCAUCAUCUUCAUCACCAGUUAAGUGACCGGUUAGCCGCAGGUUAUUUUAAUUGUUGACCUUUUUCUUUACUUUUGACCAACAAACUAAUCACAAUCAUGAGAGCAACUUGGUUGGACUUCACUGGACAUACUUUGUGUGUUCACCGCUAAAUUGGUCAUCAUGAUAAGAUGAAAGUAAUUAAAGGCCAAAAUUAAAGCAAGAGUAAAAGUCUAACCGUUAUUUUAUUGUUUAAAAUUGUGAUAAUUGUAACAAUCGCCCGUCUAAAUUGAGUUCAACAGUUUUCUGCUAAUUUUCAAAAUUAUCACAAUCAGUUAACAUUAUUUGUACUCUUUAAUAAAUGAAUACAAAAUUGAAAACAAAGGGCAUGGUCAGCUUACAAUAGCAAUGAUAAUAAAUUAUUAACUCAAUGACCCU
Tetranychus urticae (two-spotted spider mite) is the source of this 1266-nucleotide long non-coding RNA. RefSeq lists it as uncharacterized. The record is from RefSeq and is a predicted model, not a curated record. Lineage: Eukaryota; Metazoa; Arthropoda; Arachnida; Trombidiformes; Tetranychidae.